Molecule: non-coding RNA, 69 nt
Organism: Rhineura floridana
Lineage: Eukaryota; Metazoa; Chordata; Lepidosauria; Squamata; Rhineuridae
Source: the annotation of a RefSeq genome assembly
GCCGUAGCUUAGUGGUGGAGCAUCUGCCUUACAUGCAGAAGGUCCCAGGUUCAAUCCCCGGCAUCAACA